RNAcentral lists this ribosomal RNA (255 nucleotides) under uncultured bacterium. RNAcentral describes it as "partial 16S ribosomal RNA". It matches the Rfam family "Bacterial small subunit ribosomal RNA", at positions 524 to 776 of the family's 1533-position model. The record is from RNAcentral.
UACGGAGGAUGCAAGCGUUAUCCGGAAUUAUUGGGCGUAAAGCGUCCGCAGGUGGUUUAUCAAGUCUGCUGUCAAAGCGCGAGGCUUAACUUCCGUAAAGGCAGUGGAAACUGAUGGACUUGAGUGUGAUAGGGGGCAGAGGGAAUUCCCAGUGUAGCGGUGAAAUGCGUAGAGAUUGGGAAGAACACCGGUGGCGAAAGCGCUCUGCUGGGUCACAACUGACACUGAGGGACGAAAGCUAGGGGAGCGAAAGGG